This 520-nucleotide ribosomal RNA is filed under the name uncultured Acaulospora. RNAcentral describes it as "SSU rRNA". It matches the Rfam family "Eukaryotic small subunit ribosomal RNA", at positions 569 to 1089 of the family's 1831-position model. The record is from RNAcentral. Lineage: Eukaryota; Fungi; Glomeromycota; Glomeromycetes; Diversisporales; Acaulosporaceae.
AGCAGCCGCGGUAAUUCCAGCUCCAAUAGCGUAUAUUAAAGUUGUUGCAGUUAAAAAGCUCGUAGUUGAAUUUCGGGAUUCAUCCGUUGGUCGGGCUUCACGGUCCGUACUGGUGUGAUGGGUUCCUACCUUCUGAAUAACCGGCAUGCCAUUAAUUUGGUGCGCCGGGGAAGCAGAACUAUUACCUUGAAAAAAUUAGAGUGCUUAAAGCAGGCAAGUGCCUGAAUAGGUUAGCAUGGAAUAAUAAAAUAGGACGGCAUGGUUCUAUUUUGUUGGUUUCUAGGAUCACCGUAAUGAUUAAUAGGGAUAGUUGGGGGCAUUAGUAUUCAAUUGUCAGAGGUGAAAUUCUUGGAUUUAUUGAAGACUAACUUCUGCGAAAGCAUUUGCCAAGGAUGUUUUCAUUAAUCAAGAACGAAAGUUAGGGGAUCGAAGACGAUCAGAUACCGUCGUAGUCUUAACCAUAAACUAUGCCGACUAGGGAUCGGACGAUGUUAAUUUUUAAUGACUCGUUCGGCGCCUU